UGACAUUUCGUGUGUGUUUGUGUCCUCAGCUCACGGGACUCUUGCUUAGGGGUGCGAAGCGUGUUCAGGUUAAUGUCUACGUCCAUCAGAUCCCGUACUUCAGUCAAACUGGAAAAAUCCAGACGCUGGUGUUUCCAGUGAUGUACCUUAAUGAGAGCGUGGUUAUUGACGAGGAAUCUGCCAAGAAGCUGAAAGCGGUGGUUACUGAGGCUGACGUGAUCGUCAACAUCCCCUUCAUAGUGAUCAGUGUUGGCAUCUUACUGGGCGUGAUCUUCAUCGUACUCAUGUGCCGACAGCAGCUGCCACAGAGCUCUGCGGCUGAGCGGCAGCCCCUGCUUUCAUCAUAAUCUCCCCAGACGUGGCCAUAAACCGGGCGAUAUCAGGACCAACUAACAUUCGCUCAGACCUCGAGGAUGCUUUGGUUUUCACACGGCGAGACUGAAAAGUUGAAGAGCAGAGAUUGAAGCAUCAGACGGCUCAAAGUGCCAUCAUAGAGCCAAAAAGUGCAAGUGCCUCCAAAUUAGCCAGUUUAGUAUUAGAGUUUUACGUUAUGAAAUAAAUCAGUAAACACUAAUGGAGUGGCAGUGAUGCAACACAUUGCACAUCACAGGUAUCGAUAUGUGAUAUGGUACACAUACCCACUGAUGAUAACUAUAUUAUUAAUACGCUUAUGCAAUUCUUUACCAUGAGCUCAUCUGCCAAAUAAACUGACAGUGGUGCCGAUUUCAGUACUAAUGUAAGUUGUAGUCCGUAUAUUUACAGUCACUAACAUUCAGGAUCAUUGUGUGUUUGAAAAUCCUGUUGCUGACCAAAUUGCCACCAUCUUUGAUUUGGUGCAGUGAUGUAUUUGCACUAAGGUUGCCAUAUUAAGUGAUUUUCUUUGAUGCAAACCAAGAAUUUUUAGAAUGUAUAUACAGUAGGCCUAAACCUGGACAGUUAACAGGCUGAUGUUUUUGAUUUGCCACUAAAAGAAAUGAAGACCUGGAUUUGCACUCUAUACACAACUUAUUUUUAGUGGUUCACAGUUUCAACAGCUCAGUAUUACUACAGCUUUGAGAAAGUUCAGCUUGAACUCAGUAACAGUCUCACUAUGUUCAAUAUUCAUUUACAUGCACUGAUCAGUUUUAAUCUGAUGUUUAUUAAGCCUCAUGUCUGCUUGGUUCACUUUAUCUGUUAUUCUCGUAAUGCAUAAUGUCCAGGUGUUUGGUGGAUGGAGGUUAUGGUGUUUUUUAUGUUUGAAAAGGGAUGAGGGUUUACUAGUUGUUUUGUUUUGGUGAAUUUAACAAUAUUACCACAUGAUCUGAAACUGUGGUCUGAUUUCAGUUUUACUUAUCCUCAAAUGACCUUCAGUCUACCAUCAUCUUUCCCGGACGAGCCCCCAGAUGUGUCAGAUUCAUUUUCAGGUGACGUAAUGUCCAUCAGCGACCGUUGUUAACUUUAUGGAAAUAAUAAUUCAAGCUUUUAAUUAAAAUUGUGAAAUAAUCAUGUCGAAUGUGCUUCUGAAUAAAGACCCAGUGAUGAUGACAACAGCUGUUUUAGGUUUAUAAAAGAAAUGUUAAUGAUUCUUUUUUUUUUUUAAAUAAUUGUUUUAUCAAUUUAUUUCAUCAUGUGAGCAUUGUAGUUUAUGACUUUCUUUAAAAAAUGUAUUGCACUAUCAAUGUAACAAGUUAAUGAGACAAACAAUAAGACAUUAACAAAAAUAAAGCAUGUUACACCAUCUCA
Non-coding RNA from Pimephales promelas (fathead minnow), 1722 nucleotides. Lineage: Eukaryota; Metazoa; Chordata; Actinopteri; Cypriniformes; Leuciscidae. The record is from RefSeq and is a predicted model, not a curated record.